GGUGGCGUGGCCUAAUGGUAAGGCGUUGCUUUCCGGAUACGGACUCUGGCAAAGACUGUGGGUUCGAGUCCCAUCGCCAUCG
Molecule: transfer RNA, 82 nt
Organism: Exophiala sideris
Lineage: Eukaryota; Fungi; Ascomycota; Eurotiomycetes; Chaetothyriales; Herpotrichiellaceae
Rfam family: tRNA
About the family: Transfer RNA (tRNA) molecules are approximately 80 nucleotides in length. Their secondary structure includes four short double-helical elements and three loops (D, anti-codon, and T loops). Further hydrogen bonds mediate the characteristic L-shaped molecular structure. tRNAs have two regions of fundamental functional importance: the anti-codon, which is responsible for specific mRNA codon recognition, and the 3' end, to which the tRNAs corresponding amino acid is attached (by aminoacyl-tRNA synthetases). tRNAs cope with the degeneracy of the genetic code in two manners: having more than one tRNA (with a specific anti-codon) for a particular amino acid; and 'wobble' base-pairing, i.e. permitting non-standard base-pairing at the 3rd anti-codon position.
Source: Rfam